Molecule: long non-coding RNA, 880 nt
Organism: Pongo pygmaeus (Bornean orangutan)
Lineage: Eukaryota; Metazoa; Chordata; Mammalia; Primates; Hominidae
Exons: 3
Source: RefSeq, a predicted model, not a curated record
UGAAUAGCAGGGCUUGGUCUAAAAAUAUCUCCUCCACUGACAUACCACAUGGGUUGAUAUUCCUGCUGUCAGAGGCACACCUUGAAAUUAAGGUGUCUUCCUACAAAAAGUCUUGUUGCUAAGUUCAGACACUGUCUGAGAUGAGGUAUUUAUAAUUCCUGUCCCAAAUUUGGCUAUAAGCUUCAAGAAUACUGAGACCUGGCUUGUUUACUGAAGCAUCUCUAGAGCCACAACAACGGGUGAAACACCAGGGACAGUUAGCAAAUAUUUGCUAAGCAAAUGAAAGACUACACGACAAGAGCAAAAGAAGUGCAGGAAUGGGCCCAUGCUUAUGGUAUUCACUGGUCUUACCAUGUUCUUCAUGAUGCUGAAGCAGCUGGCUUCAUAGAAUAUUGUAAUGGCCCUUUGAAGACUCAAUUACAGCACCAGCUAAGUAGUAAUACCUUGCAGGGCUGGGGCAAGUUUCUCCAGAAGGCUGAAUAUGCUCUGAAUUAGUAUCUAAUUUAUGGUGCUAUUUCUCCCCUAGCCAGGAUUCACAGAUCCAGGAAUCAAUGGGGUGGAAAUGGGAGUGGCACCACUCACCAUCACCCCUAGCGACCCACUAGCAAAAUGUUUGCUUCCUGUUCUUGAGACUUUAUGCUUUGCUGGCCUAGAGGUCUUAGUUCCAGAAGGAAGAAUGCUGCCAUCAGAAGACAAAACAAUGAUUUCACUGAGCUGGAAGUCAAGACUGCCACCCCGCCACUUGGGGCUUUUCAUGCCUUUGAGUCAACAGGUUAAGAGAGAAGAAGGAAGGAAGAGCCAAUGAUUAGUAACUGUGCAGAGCCAGGAUCAAAAACUCAAAUACCCACAGGGGCCAGGUAAUAAAGCAAGUAAAUGAAGG